GACGAACGCUGGCGGCAGGCUUAACACAUGCAAGUCGAACGAGCUGGGGGCUUCUGUCCCCGAUGCUAGUGGCGCACGGGUGAGUAACACGUGGGAGUAUGCCGUUUAGUACGGUAUAACCAAUUGAGGCUUCUGCUGAUACCGUAUACGCCCUUCUGGUGCAAGAUGUAUGGCGAAAGGAUUAGCCCGCGUCUGGUUAGGUAGUUGGGGCGGUAAUGGCUGAGCAAGCCGACGUGCAGUAGCUGGUCUGUGAGGAUGAUCCGCCAGAAUGGGGCUGAGACACGGACCAGAACGCGACGCGAGGGAGCAGUGGGGAAUAUUGGACACUGGGGGCAAACCUGAUAAAGCCAUGCGGCGUGAGUGAAGAAGGCCUUCGGGUUGUAAAGCUCUCUCGACGGGGACGAUGAUGACGGUAACCGGAAAAGAAGCACCGGCAAACUUCGUG
RNAcentral lists this ribosomal RNA (445 nucleotides) under uncultured bacterium. RNAcentral's name for it is "partial 16S ribosomal RNA". It matches the Rfam family "Bacterial small subunit ribosomal RNA", at positions 28 to 507 of the family's 1533-position model. The record is from RNAcentral.